This 403-nucleotide ribosomal RNA is filed under the name uncultured bacterium. RNAcentral's name for it is "bacterial SSU rRNA". It matches the Rfam family "Bacterial small subunit ribosomal RNA", at positions 30 to 416 of the family's 1533-position model. The record is from RNAcentral.
AGUGAACGCUGGCGGCAGGCCUAACACAUGCAAGUCGAGCGGCAGCGCGUCCGACCACCCUCGGGUGGCCGGAUGGCGGCGAGCGGCGGACGGGUGAGGAAUGCAUCGGAAUCUGCCUCGUUGUGGGGGAUAACGUAGGGAAACUUACGCUAAUACCGCAUACGACCUACGGGUGAAAGUGGGGGACCGUUCGGGCCUCACGCGAUGAGAUGAGCCGAUGCCGGAUUAGCUAGUUGGCGGGGUAAAGGCCCACCAAGGCGACGAUCCGUAGCUGGUCUGAGAGGAUGAUCAGCCACACUGGAACUGAGACACGGUCCAGACUCCUACGGGAGGCAGCAGUGGGGGAAUAUUGGACAAUGGGGGCGAACCCUGAUCCAGCCAUGCCGCGUGUGUGAAGAAGGCC